Mustela putorius furo (domestic ferret) is the source of this 108-nucleotide small nuclear RNA. The record is from Ensembl. Lineage: Eukaryota; Metazoa; Chordata; Mammalia; Carnivora; Mustelidae.
GGGCUCACUUUGGUAACUCACACACUAAAACUGGACCUCUGUCAAGAACAUUAGUGUGGUCCCUGCACCAAAGAUGACAUGCAAGUUUGUGAAGUGUGCCAUAUUAAA